AGCGAACGCUGGCGGCAGGCUUAACACAUGCAAGUCGAGCGGGCAUCCUUGUGGUGUCAGCGGCAGACGGGUGAGUAACGCGUGUGAACGUGCCCUUCGGUUCGGAAUAACUCAGGGAAACUUGAGCUAAUACCGGAUACGUGCGAGAGCAGAAAGGUUUAUCUGCCGAAGGAUCGGCCCGCGUCUGAUUAGCUAGUUGGUGAGGUUAUGGCUCACCAAGGCGACGAUCAGUAGCUGGUCUGAGAGGAUGAUCAGCCACACUGGGACUGAGACACGGCCCAGACUCCUACGGGAGGCAGCAGUGGGGAAUAUUGGACAAGGGGGGCAACCCUGAUCCAGCCAUGCCGGGUGAGUGAUGACGGCCGUAGGGUUGUAAAGCUCUUUUCUCCGGGACGAUAAUGACGGUACCGGAGGAAUAAGCCCCGGCUAACUUCGUG
This 437-nucleotide ribosomal RNA is filed under the name uncultured bacterium. Its description in RNAcentral is "partial 16S ribosomal RNA". It matches the Rfam family "Bacterial small subunit ribosomal RNA", at positions 29 to 507 of the family's 1533-position model. The record is from RNAcentral.